UAAAUUAAUUUUUUAUAAAUGUUAGUAUUGCAUACUAUUUAAGGAAAAUUUUAUUGACUAUAAAAAAUAGAAAUAAAAGGUAGAAAAAUGUUUAAUUUUAUUGUUUCAUAAUAAAAAUUAGCAUUUUUAGUGUUGAAAUGUCGACUUUUAUAAUAUCUGUAUUUAAAAAUAUAUUAGAAAAUUAUAUAUAAUAAAAUGAUUAAUUGAAAAGUAAAAUUUGUAGUGUUUAAAUUUUAGGUUUUACAACCUUUUCAGUUUUUAUUAUCGGAAAUUAUUUUAAAAAUUUAAUAAUAUUUUAUUAAAUAUAAAAUCUUAAAAUUAGUAGAUUUUAUAAACAAAGUAGAAUAAAUAAAUUUAAUUAAAGAACUUGAACUCUUAAUCAAAUGUUUUUUAAAGACUUAGGUUUUUAAAUAAAACUGGCUUCUGCCCUAUGAAUUUUAAAUGGCAGUCUUAGCGUGAGGACAUUAAGGUAGCAAAAUAAUUUGUGCUUUUAAUGAGUUCCAGUAUGAAUGGAGUUAUUGUUUAGUUAUAUUUUUAUUUUAUGUUGAAUUUAAUAUUUGUUUAAGAAAAAACAAAUAUAUUUGUACAAAGAUAAGUCUUCGGAAAUUCUAUUAUUUUUAAUUAAUUUUUAUUAAAAAUAAGUUUUCUAGGGUAGAAUUUUAUGUAAUUAUUUUUUACUAAUUAUAAUUUAAAGAAUUACUCCGGAGUUAACAGAAAAUCAUACCUAAUCUAGUUCUUAUAGUAAGGUAAGUUUUACAUCGAUGUUGUAUUUUGGUAAGCCAAGAGAGGAGAAGGUUUGGUAAUUUUAGACUGUUCUUCUGUUAAUUAACCAAACGUGAUAUUAGUUUAAUUCAUCGUGAGAUAGAAUUGUUUAUCUUGACAAAUAUUUAUAUGAAAAGUGUUUAGUACGAAAGGAACAAUAUAAAAGUUUUAAACUUUAAA
This 942-nucleotide ribosomal RNA is filed under the name Pristionchus pacificus. RNAcentral describes it as "16S ribosomal RNA". Lineage: Eukaryota; Metazoa; Nematoda; Chromadorea; Rhabditida; Neodiplogasteridae. The record is from RNAcentral.